UACGUAGGGUGCGAGCGUUAAUCGGAAUUACUGGGCGUAAAGCGUGCGCAGGCGGUUUUGUAAGCCAGGUGUGAAAUCCCCGGGCUCAACCUGGGAAUGGCAUUUGGGACUGCAAGGCUGGAGUGUGGCAGAGGGGGGUGGAAUUCCGCGUGUAGCAGUGAAAUGCGUAGAGAUGCGGAGGAACACCGAUGGCGAAGGCAGCCCCCUGGGCUAACACUGACGCUCAGGCACGAAAGCGUGGGGAGCAAACAGG
Molecule: ribosomal RNA, 253 nt
Filed under: uncultured bacterium
Lineage: Bacteria
Description: partial 16S ribosomal RNA
Rfam family: Bacterial small subunit ribosomal RNA
Source: RNAcentral